AUUAAAAAAAAAUUGCAAUGGGACUCCUCACAACAUGCUUCUCAGAUACCCACUUGAAGCUUCCCUCGCCAUAUUAGUUUUUCCAAUAUCUCAACUUGAGCUUAAUGAAAAGAUCUUCUUCUCCUUCAUAUCGGUGAAUUCUAGCUUUGUUGGUGACACGCUUGCCUUCACCUCUCUGGGCAUGUAAAUUUCCAGUGUAGCUUGAAGUUGCUUCUCCCACAUCAGUGACAAUCCGGUCCAUAACAAGCUUGCCAGCACUUGCCCUUACUGUUGCAGCGUCAAAUUUAAAAAAAAACGGAAGUACUGCCUCCCUAAGUAUGCGUUUGUUUCGUGGAUUAGGUGGGUUCCAUCCCUAUUUUACAUGAUGAGUUGAUUCUAUUUUUCUGUUUGGUUGGAGGAAUGUAUUGAAACCCUGUUUUUUUUGUUUGGUUAGAGGACUGAGAUGGGAUGGAGUGAACCUAUCAUCUGUUUGGUUCGAAAGAUGAACUUGAGAUGGUCGGAUGUGAUUACCUCCUCAUAAUAAGUUGGUAAG
This 532-nucleotide long non-coding RNA is filed under the name Oryza brachyantha (malo sina). Its description in RNAcentral is "long non-coding RNA (OBRA_LNC000816)". Lineage: Eukaryota; Viridiplantae; Streptophyta; Magnoliopsida; Poales; Poaceae. The record is from RNAcentral.